Molecule: ribosomal RNA, 517 nt
Filed under: Tuberaceae sp. SGT-2012
Lineage: Eukaryota; Fungi; Ascomycota; Pezizomycetes; Pezizales; Tuberaceae
Description: eukaryotic LSU rRNA
Rfam family: 5.8S ribosomal RNA (bases 117-270)
Source: RNAcentral
GUCCAGUCCUUAACGGGUUCCUGGAUUGAGGUGUCUGGGGAAGGACCCAAUAUUAAACUUUCCAAUCAAUUAGUUGUCUGAGAAGGCCUUGUGCCGCAAUCUUUAAAACAUGUUAAAACUUUCAACAACGGAUCUCUUGGCUCUCGCAUCGAUGAAGAACGCAGCGAAAUGCGAUAAGUAAUGUGAAUUGCAGAAUUCAGUGAAUCAUCGAAUCUUUGAACGCACAUUGCGCCCUUUGGUAUUCCUUAGGGCAUGCCUGUUCGAGCGUCACUAAAAACCAUCUCACAGAUUAUGUGGUAUUGGUAGAAGUGGGUUGUACUAACAGUAUGCUUUCCUACUCUACUGAAAUAAAUAGGCCAGAGAAGUGGAUCAUGGUAACAGACUCUAAGAGUGUUUUAAAAUGCUAAACUAGUCUCACCCAGGUCAUGUUCUGAGCCACUGGACCCCCAUUCAGUCCAAAGCAGAGAGGUUGACCUCGGAUCAGGUAGGGAUACCCGCUGAACUUAAGCAUAUCAAU